CUACGGGGUGCUGCAGCGAGGAAUAUUGGUCAAUGGGCGCGAGCCUGAACCAGCCAUCCCGCGUGCAGGAUGACGGCCCUAUGGGCUGUAAACUGCUUUUCUAUGCCAAGAAACCUGAUUACGUGUAAUCAGUUGCCGGUAGCAUAGGAAUAAGCAUCGGCUAACUCCGUGCCAGCAGCCGCGGUAAUACGGAGGAUGCAAGCGUUAUCCGGAUUCAUUGGGUUUAAAGGGUGCGCAGGUGGGCUUGUAAGUCAGUGGUGAAAUGCUGCCGCUUAACGGUAGAACUGCCAUUGAUACUGCGAGUCUUGAGUAUGGUUGAGGUAGGCGGAAUGUGUUGUGUAGCGGUGAUAUGCAUAGAUAUGACACAGAACGCCAAUUGCGAAGGCAGCUUACUAAGCCAUUACUGACGCUGAGGCACGAAAGCGUGGGGAGCGAACAGGAUUAGAUACCCGCGUAGUC
RNAcentral lists this ribosomal RNA (459 nucleotides) under uncultured bacterium. Its description in RNAcentral is "partial 16S ribosomal RNA". It matches the Rfam family "Bacterial small subunit ribosomal RNA", at positions 339 to 795 of the family's 1533-position model. The record is from RNAcentral.